CAGGGAGAACAGGGAACUUGCUUUGAAUCUGAAUCAUCUUCAUCAGGUAGAGCCUGCAUAGUGGCUAUUUUAUAGAAGAGAUAAAAGCUACCCAACUGUGCAGCAUGAUGCUCCAAAGGGCCACAGCAGACCUCGAGGACAAGGACGGUUAUCUACAUUCGAUACCUUACUGAUGGAAGCCUUUUCAACCUAAGGCGACUGAAGGCCCACACCAAGACCUUAAAUCAUCUUGUCCGGGAGCUGCUUUAUGCUGAUGACGCCGGCCUUGUCGCUCACACAGAAGCAGCUCUGAAGCGUUUAAAAUCCUGCUUUGCAGAGGCUGCUGAGCUCUUUGGGCUGGAAGUCAGUUCAAAGAAAACAGAAGUUCUGUAUCAACCUGCACCUCAGGAAGUCUUCCAUCAUCCCCAUAUCACCAUUGGUGAAUCAGUGCUCAAAUCAGUCCAGUAGUUUAAUUACCUAGGCAGCCUCAUCUCCUCAGAUGGUAAGAUUGACGGGGAGAUAGACAACAGGCUAGCAAAGGCCUUUGGAAAGCUUCAUAAAAGAGUUUGGUGAAAUAAACACUUGAAGAAAAGUACAGAGAUCAGUGUUUACAGAGCCAUUGUGCUGGCUACUCUCUUAUAUGGAUCUGAAUCACAGGUCAUCUACCGCCACCACCUGUGUCUCCUAGAACGCUUCCAUCAACGCUGUCUCCAUAAAAUCCUAAAC
This is a long non-coding RNA of Pseudopipra pipra, 705 nucleotides long. RefSeq lists it as uncharacterized. Lineage: Eukaryota; Metazoa; Chordata; Aves; Passeriformes; Pipridae. The transcript is spliced from 3 exons. The record is from RefSeq and is a predicted model, not a curated record.